Molecule: ribosomal RNA, 396 nt
Filed under: uncultured bacterium
Lineage: Bacteria
Description: partial 16S ribosomal RNA
Rfam family: Bacterial small subunit ribosomal RNA
Source: RNAcentral
AUACGUAGGGGGCGAGCGUUGUCCGGAAUGAUUGGGCGUAAAGGGCGCGUAGGCGGCCCGGUAAGUCUGGAGUGAAAGUCCUGUUUUUAAGAUGGGAAUUGCUUUGGAUACUGUCGGGCUUGAGUGCAGGAGAGGUAAGUGGAAUUCCCAGUGUAGCGGUGAAAUGCGUAGAGAUUGGGAGGAACACCAGUGGCGAAGGCGACUUACUGGACUGUAACUGACGCUGAGGCGCGAAAGUGUGGGGAGCAAACAGGAUUAGAUACCCUGGUAGUCCACGCUGUAAACGAUGAAUACUAGGUGUGGGGGGACUGACCCCCUCCGUGCCGCAGUUAACACAAUAAGUAUUCCACCUGGGGAGUACGAUCGCAAGAUUGAAACUCAAAUGAAUUGGCGGGG